This 535-nucleotide ribosomal RNA is filed under the name Apiomerus binotatus. RNAcentral describes it as "partial 16S ribosomal RNA". It matches the Rfam family "Bacterial large subunit ribosomal RNA", at positions 1807 to 2612 of the family's 2925-position model. Lineage: Eukaryota; Metazoa; Arthropoda; Insecta; Hemiptera; Reduviidae. The record is from RNAcentral.
ACAAAAACAUGUCCUUUUGAUUUUAUUUAAGGUCUGGUCUGCCCAAUGAUUUUAUUUAAUGGCCGCGGUAUUUUAACUGUGCUAAGGUAGCAUAAUCAUUUGUCUUUUAAUUGAGGGCUGGAAUGAAUGGCUGGAUGAGGCAUAAUCUUUCUUUGACUUAAUUUAUGAAUUUAAUUUUUUAGUUAAAAAGCUAGAAUUUAUUUGCUGGACGAGAAGACCCUAUAGAUCUUUAUAUUUAAUGGUUGUUUUUAUAAUUUGGUUAUUUUAUUAUUUUGAUUAAUCUGAGUAUUUGGUUGGGGUGACUUUAGAAUUUCAUUAACUUCUAUUUUUUACUUUUUCAUUUAUUUAUGUUUUUAUGAUCCAUUAAUUAUGAUUAUAAGAUUAAGUUACCUUAGGGAUAACAGCGUAAUUUCUUUGGAGAGUUCAUAUCGAUAAAGAAGUUUGCGACCUCGAUGUUGGAUUAAAAUAAGUGAUAUAUGCAGUAGUCUAUUAACUAGGUCUGUUCGACCUUUUAAUUUUUACAUGAUCUGAGUUC